UACGUAGGGUGCGAGCGUUGUCCGGAAUUAUUGGGCGUAAAGAGCUCGUAGGCGGUCUGUCGCGUCGGCUGUGAAAUCCCGAGGCUCAACCUCGGGUCUGCAGUCGAUACGGGCAAACUAGAGUAUUGCAGGGGAGACUGGAAUUCCUGGUGUAGCGGUGAAAUGCGCAGAUAUCAGGAGGAACACCAGUUGCGAAGGCGGCUGACUGGACACAUAUUGACGCUGAGGCUCGAAAGCAUGGGGAGCAAACAGG
Molecule: ribosomal RNA, 253 nt
Filed under: uncultured bacterium
Lineage: Bacteria
Description: partial 16S ribosomal RNA
Rfam family: Bacterial small subunit ribosomal RNA
Source: RNAcentral